GGGGACGCGCGGGUUCGACAGGAGAGUUCCGUAGCGGAUUGCAAGCCGAGGGCGCCAUCUUCCUCGUUAAUCCGGUGGCAGUCAUUAACUGACAACCGUGAAUUUGCACUAGCCGCCUAAUACGUGGCUACGUCUGCUCCCAGUUAGUCCCGGAGGCAGGGAUGCAGGCGCCAUAAGUCCGGGAUGCGGUUGGCCCGAUGCCGAUAGGGUUUAGCCUAAGAACAUCGGCUGGCUUCACGAAGAUUCCGUCGGUGGAAGCCCCGUGAAGCGAGUAUUAAACCGCCGAACAAGCUUGUAGCACAUCCGUCUGUGGUGCCUUCUGGACGGGGAGUUCAACUCUCCCCCGUCUCCACCA
Molecule: transfer-messenger RNA, 355 nt
Filed under: Dehalococcoidia
Lineage: Bacteria; Bacillati; Chloroflexota
Also listed under: 2 other names
Description: JADFFS01 sp022568195 Standard tmRNA
Rfam family: transfer-messenger RNA
About the family: Bacterial tmRNA, also known as 10Sa RNA or SsrA, is named for its dual tRNA and mRNA-like properties.
Source: RNAcentral